AUGUCAUGUCAAAAAUAACCAAUCAUGCAGCAUAUGGACCUCACGUCUACGUUUUGCCAUCUGGCGGAUUUUUCACUCGCGAAAACCCUUAUUGGAUUCAGAUUGUGUUGUCAACUUUUUGACCACUUUGAACUACUGACUGUACCAUAUUCGGAACUUAUCGGAUUAUUUCGUGAGUUUCGAACUCAAAAUAAAGAGUGAACAUUAUUAGAAAGAGAUUGAGUGGCAUCAAAAACAUUCUUUAUUUGUAUAUUUUUUAUAAAUCCUACUCUAUCACAAUAUUAUAGUAGGUAAUGCAUUAUCCCACAAAAAUUUACUGUUGCGUGAACACAUGGAAAAGGGCCUUUACGAACAUUGGUCUCUGCGGGAUUUGAACCCGCUACCGGGCGUUGUGGUCUGUCACACGAACCACUAGGUCAUGGUUUAGUUAUGAUCUGCACUGGUUUUUGUAUAACCCGUCCUGUAUAACUGGACUGUCAUGUGAACACACAAGCGUGUGUAUGAAAUUCGAACUCAUCAGUUUUUUACGGGACACUGCAAACUGAAUGUUUGUGUUAUACUACUUACUUAACGGAAUCCUGCAGAAAACGAAAAGUCGUCUUGGGAAAGAGCCCCAUGUUCAUUCACAUCAGUUUUAACAACUAUUAUCUCCUCUCCAAAUCAGCGCUGUCCAGUUAUUUAGAGUGUAUCGCUGUACUUUUAAACUAGUUGGCUGUAGACAUUACAUAUUACGUGAAAAUAUGCGACUUUUUAUUGGUUACCCUAAUAGAUAAUACCCGCCUAUUUUUUCUCUCCUAAUCUUAAGAUUUAAAAAUAAGGUUUAUGCAGUUUUUGGGAAAUAAAUUACUAAGGCAGAUACAAGAGACCGAGGCAGGAGACCACGACCAUUUUGAUUUAUGCCUCCUGUGUAGCCAGGAACUACAGCUUGACCGCCAAUAACCCGACCAAUGAAGGUCAAGUUUGUCCCGGGGGAAAGUUAACUGUCAUUGGACCCGCAACGAAAUUAAUCAGAAGAACAUAGGCGUUCGAAGUUAAGGUUCGACUUCCCUCCAGUGCAAAGCGGAUCACAGGAGACAAAACAAAGGUGUUGUCUUCUGUCAAUCAUGAGUACUACGAUAAAAAAUCUAUGACAGAUUUUACAGCGCCCCUAGCGGUUAUUCUUAAGAACUAAAAUUUGUAAUAGAUUAUACGCCUCCGCUAGCGAUUACGUUUAAUGUAAACUCAUGGUAAACCUUCUGAUACUGCUUAAAUUCAAUUUACGAUCGUAGUCUCCCUCGGUGUCUUGUUUCUGUCUAGACGUGAACGCGUUAUACACUUCAACACAGUAUAAAGGACGUAGCACACUUAUCGACCCGGAAAGGCGUAACCGUAUCAACUCGAUGCGGUCAGUAUUCUUUGUGUGAAACGUACUGCAACGCACACUUAUCCGCACCUUAACGUAAACGCCUCGCCUCGCGGUUGACAGGGAGCAAAAUGCGAUACGGUGUUGACUGUUGAUACCUUUCCGAGUUGAUAAGUCUGCUAUGACCAUCUUUUAUGGAACUACCAAAUUAUUUUUCAGUGAUUAGUAAUAAGUCUAUUGUUUAAAUACGUAAUACUAUUGUUUAUGAUUGUAUUUAAUUUUAAUUAUGUGUUAUUCUUAUUUCCCUUCCACUGCAACGUUUAUUUGCAAACGAAAGUAUGCAGUAUCGUAGUCUAUGGUUUUGAAAUAACGUAAUUAUUUAUUAACUAGCGGCCGCCCGCGACCUCGUUCGCGUGGACCCCGUCUUACCCCCUUAGGGGUUGAAUUUUGCAAUAUCCCGUCUUAGUAAGCACCUACGUUCUAAAAGGAACCCCCAUGCACAAUUUGAGACUCCUAGCACUUGUAGUUUCUGAGAUUUCGUGAUGAGGGUGUCAGUCAGUGAUCUUUCGCUUUUACAUAGAUGUCAAUUUUCCGUUAAAUCUGAGGGCACAUUCCCACUGCAAUCCGGCUUUGCGGGAUGCAGUAAUGAUCACGAAUGAGGAUCCCGCAAAACGACUGUCGUGACUGGCUUUUUUGCUAUAUUGGUCAAUGAUUCAUACAUUUAAUUGAUAUACUUUCAGCCAUUUAUAAAAUGUCUAUCUAAAAUCUAGAUUCUAGAUAGAUAAAUAUCAAAAGAUAAACAUCUAAAUUUUGAUAGAUAUCUAAUUAAUUAAAUCCGUGUUAAACACGGACAGUCAAUUUGCCACAAUCAGCAAUAUCAAACAUAAGUCGCAAAAAUAUGCAGUGCAGUCAUACUUGAGUGUGAAACGACAAUCAAAACUAUUUUAAACUAAGUCUGCGAUUCAUUGGUUGAUUUAAAAUUUUAGAUCAAUCAUAAUAGGCUACCUAGUUUCCUAAAAAAAGCUUUUAGUCCGUAAUUAUAUUAUCGAAAAUUAUUGAACACGUAUUUUUUUAUUUGUCAAUCAAAAGUUCAGCGUGACGUCACAAAGUGCUACACUUUUAAGCACUUCUUGACGUUACGGGCCUCUUCUGAACACUGGCGUGCUUUAUCUCUUUAAAUUCUCAUUAUUUUGAAAAAGUGACAAAUACCUACGUGUCAAGUAUUUUUUGUAAAACGGAUUAAUUCAAACUCUUGCUUUUUUACCCAGGAAACAUCCCUGUUAUGUUUAAAAUGUACUUUUUGCGAAUUCUUUGAAUUUCGUUUCAUAAUAUGGACUGUAGAAAUCUCAAUACUGUACUAGGUACUUUCGUGGGCAAAUAAACAAAAUCAUUUAAAAACUUAAAUCACAACUUCAGUACUGUUUUAAAAUCUCUGACGAGCUUUAAAAGCAAAAUGAUUUUACUUAAUUUACAUAUUUAGCUGCUCAGCUAUUUAUUUUAAUUGUUUUUAUACAUACAUUUUGUAUUUUUAUUAUUUUAAUUUUGAUUAAUUUCAUGUAAAAAAAAUCAAAGGUUAUUUCAGAUUUAGAAAUAUAGUAUUAUUUCAGAUUCAUCAUGUAUCAAAAAUGGAAGGUUCAAAAUAGUACUAUAGUAUUGAUUUAAGCUUAUUUUAGUUUUCAAUAUCUACACAACGAGAAAAUUACGAAAAUAUUGUAUUUUUUUAUAUUUUAAUCCACAUUUUACCCCAUAUUAAUAAUCUGUGACAAUAAUAACUUCAAAGUAAAAACUUUUGGCGCCAAUUCAGUGUUGGACGCAUUAUUGUCGCGGUUUACUUAUCUGUGGAAAUGUCAAUUUUUUCUUACUUAUCUGUGGACAUUAAAAUUUCCCGCCCACUCUAAAAAAUUUGUAAAAAAACCAACUUUAUUAUCUUGGAAAUUAUGUUUAAAAUUGACUAAGCUGUUUUAAUAGUAUUGGCAGUCUAAAGUUAUUUUCUGUUGUAUAGAUAUUGACGAAUAUGUACUAAUAAGUUAGAUAAGAGAAAUCUGUAGCUAGGUCGUCAGUGAUAGGUCAGCUCUGUAGCGAACAAGUUAUGAUCUAAUUUAGAUUAAGGCGUACUCGAAUGUUUAAUCUAUUAAAGUAUUUAAACGAA
Ostrinia furnacalis (Asian corn borer) is the source of this 3491-nucleotide long non-coding RNA. RefSeq lists it as uncharacterized. The transcript is spliced from 2 exons. The record is from RefSeq and is a predicted model, not a curated record. Lineage: Eukaryota; Metazoa; Arthropoda; Insecta; Lepidoptera; Crambidae.